GAGCACUUACUAUUCCUACAACAGUAAGACUGCUCUUGUGAGAAACCUUAUAGAUUUUUCUGUUGUCAUUUAGAUUUACACAGGAAAUAAAUAAAGUUUAUGCCAAACUGCAUUGCUUAAACAGGAUUAAACAAUUACAUUCACUACUCUCCAGGGAGGGCCCAUUAUCACAGGCAAAUAUAGUAUCCCCUAAAUGUAUUUAGAAUUAGUCUUUGGCUUACUAUGUGUUAACUAAAUUUAGGGAUGAAAUAAAGCAAGCAUAAAUAUCAAGGGGAAGAAAAGGAGAAUGAACUAACAGGUUUAACAACCUGUUUACUCAGGAACUGUAGAAACUCAACUGUAUGUGUCUUUUAGUCAAAUAACCUCUUUGGUUUCUACAUUCUUUCAUAAAAGGCAGCUGAACCUUUAAGUCUGAGUACUUUACCUUAGAAGACAGUUGUCAGUUUAAAAAGCAUUUGAGAUCAUUAAAAAAAAUGGUAUCAAGUAAAAACUACCCAAGGGUUUGUGUAUAGUAGGUUAACGACCAUUUAGGGAUGGUCACGGAAGGUAUUUUAGCCUGAACACCCACCAGAAAACUUUAGUAGUGUUUCAUGUAUACAUAUGUAUAAAGUACCUUUCAUUUUACAAUUUAAUUUUAAACACAUGAAAAAGGGUAGGAAAAAAUUAAAGUUAUCUUUAUCUAAAGAUCCUUUUCUUCUCAAUACAGUAUUUAUGCUGGUUUUAAAGUCUAUCCUCAAAAAAUUAACUACAUAAAAAGGCAGCAAUCCUUUCUCAAACCCACUAGAGACUACAGAGGAAGGAUUGACAAAAACAUAAAACUUAGUAUCAUUUUUAAAAUCAAAGUCUGUAGGGGACUCUUAUUUGGGAAAAAGAUCCUUUUAACCACGUAUGACAAAACAGUCCCUCUGUCCUCCUUAGUCCCCGGGCCAGAGCCUCUUGGGACUCUCUACUUCCUUUGGUAGCAAUUCUGGAAAUUAAUGCUAUAACUGCUAAUCUGUCUGGUAGGUAAUCAGCAUUUCUCUCCCUGAAUUCUUCCUAACCUCCUCACUCCCAAGGGAGGGACUCUCUGCUAGGGCAGAAACAGUAUUGACAGGCCUAAAACCACAUGCAGACUAAGAUUAGAGUGUUAAGUCAAGAGAAAACAUUAAAUUAACAAGAGAGAAAGGCUGGUGGGGAGGGGAGAAGUAGUAACUGGCACGCCAUCCUAUUUACACACUGACUUAAACAAACUAGCUAAAAUCAAGGUAAUGUCUGCCCAGAGGAUAUUACAAUUUACCAACAUAAAAGAUAAAAACAAGCAGCAACUUUCACAUAAAAUUAAUCAAGAAAAAUGAGUAAGAAUUGUCAGUAGCAUCUAUCUCCUCACUGUGUUUGAACUGCACAUUAUAACCAUUAGUCCAUUAGUACAGCAGCUUGCUAAGAAUUGACUUUGGUUCAAGCUUAGUUUAAAAAACAAAACAAAACAAACAAAACACCCACACCAUACAAAAUAGGUGGAUGAGCAUCUGUGAGUUUCCCUGCUUGCAGUUCACUGAUUUUUGGAGGGAUUUUAGGAAAAGUUAAAGGUAAAAGAAAUUAUUCAGGGGUGAAAAUUAAAUACUCUGGGAAAUAACCAAAAGGAACUAAAAAAAAUUAAAGGGAUCAAAAUGUUUUUGACCUUUAAUAUUAGUAUGACCUUCUCCCAACUGAGAAACAACAACAAAAAAGGUACACAUCUGUGUCUGCUACUGCCUCGCUGAACUUUUUCUCUGCAGAGAAACAAAUGCACAGUUUCCUGCGGCAAAGCAAAGCAAUCAGAAGGAGAGUCACUCCCAGCUCAAAGUGCAGACCACCAGGAACUGAAGCAAGUGCCCUCAGACGCCAAAUGGGAACCUUUAACUCCAGUAAGGGCAACUCAGAGCUUCACUGCAGUGAUUCCGUCAUUUGUAAAAAUUCUGGUACAGAUAGUAUAAUAAUAGGAUAUUGACAAAUGGGGGAAUUUAGUCUCUAAAUUGCCCUCAUCCAUCUUCAUCCAUUUUCACAAGUUCUUCCUUUUCAAUGGGCUCAUUUAUGUAGUCUAGAAACACCCUGAAAGCAAUUACAGGAGGAAAUCACUUUUUACAUCAAAUAGGAGAUGCAUGUCGUCAUCAGAUCUACUUAGCAGGGGCCUAACCAACCAAGAGACACUUGAGGCUGAGAAGUUCUUGCUCAGCAUCUCUCUGAAGUUCCACAGAUCCCUUGCCCAGCCAGGAAAGGGCCUCUGUCAGUCAGGGGACUGAGGAGACUCUCAGGCUUGGAGAAACUUGUGACCCACUCAGUGGACAGGAAGUCUGUGACUCUCUAGAGAACGGUGGUACACUCGCUCAGGCUCUUCAUACUGACCUCUCUGGGAUACCUCGUUAGUAGAAAACAGUUCAACAGAAUUGCUUUAGAAAACAAGGGAGAGAACUGUCGCACAACUUCAGUAUGCCAAUUCGAUUCUGACCAAGUAAAUAAAAGGAAGUUUGGAUGAAAAUUUUUCAUAAAAUGAAAAAACAAACAAGCAAACAAACAAACACUAACAGUAGGAGCAUUUUUUUAAGAGAUAAGAAAUCAGGAGAGCCACCAAGUCAGGUGUCUGCAGUAGUCUUUGCUCUUCGGAACCAAACCCUGCCCUGCAACAGGCACAGCUGUUCCCAUGGGAAGUAGAAGGAAGCGUCACUGUUGCACCACAGGGUCUGGGCCUCAGGCUGCUCAAUGAUUCGGGGUGAGUGAGAGCCACGGCUCAGCAGGAAUUCCUUCCUACACACAAGUGCUCCAAAGGCACCGCCUGAUGGGGAGGGGCGUGUGUAAGGCAGAAGUGUUUGCACACACUGCCUUCAGCUUCUGCACCAAGCCUCUUGCAUAAGUGGCAAAAGAAAAUCGUUUUCUAGCACCUCUGUAAGAGUCACCAAGGAUAAGGAAACCAGCACGAACAUUCCCAGGAGUUAAGGACCUAAGUCUCCCUUGAUCCCAAACCCUCCCUCCCCACAGUGUGGGCGCUCACUGAAACAGGAUCCAGGAGCAAGAGAUAAACAUGUUCAAUAUAUAUAUAUAGAUAUAUAUAUAUAUAUAUAUGUAUAAACAAACAAUAUCAGAGAUACAGUAAUACAGGCCUGCCUAAAUUGUACCAGUUAAGAAAGGAACCCCCAACACAAUUGAUAUGAUUAUAAACACCUUGUUAUGACUUAAUGGUCUGUACAACAGACCUAUAAAAAUGAUUUUUUUUUU
Molecule: long non-coding RNA, 3228 nt
Filed under: Mus musculus (house mouse)
Lineage: Eukaryota; Metazoa; Chordata; Mammalia; Rodentia; Muridae
Description: long non-coding RNA chr1:165872052-165875280
Source: RNAcentral